This 540-nucleotide ribosomal RNA is filed under the name uncultured Pseudomonadota bacterium. RNAcentral's name for it is "bacterial SSU rRNA". It matches the Rfam family "Bacterial small subunit ribosomal RNA", at positions 8 to 522 of the family's 1533-position model. Lineage: Bacteria; Pseudomonadati; Pseudomonadota. The record is from RNAcentral.
AGAGUUUGAUCAUGGCUCAGAACGAACGCUGGCGGCGUGCCUAACACAUGCAAGUCGGGGGAGAAAGUGGACUUCGGUCUGCGAGUAAACCGGCGCACGGGUGAGUAUAACGUAGGUAACGUACCUUAGAGCCCGGGAUAACCAGUCGAAAGAUUGGCUAAUACCGGAUACGACCGCAGGGGCUUCGGCUUCAGCGGUGAAAGAUGGCCUCUACUUGUAAGCUAUCACUCUUUGAGCGGCCUGCGCACCAUUAGCUUGUUGAUGAGGUAACGGCUCACCAAGGCUGAGAUGGUUAGCUGGUCUGAGAGGAUGGCCAGCCACACUGGGACUGAGACACGGCCCAGACUCCUACGGGAGGCAACAGUAGGGAAUCUUGCGCAAUGGGCGAAAGCCUGACGCAGCGACGCCGCGUGGGUGAUGAAGGCCUUCGGGUCGUAAAGCCCUGUCGGGAGGGAAGAAUGUCCCUCGACCUAAUACGUCGGGGGAGUGACGGUACCUCCUAAGGAAGCACCGGCUAACUCCGUGCCAGCAGCCGCGGUA